RNAcentral lists this unclassified non-coding RNA (803 nucleotides) under Daphnia pulicaria. Its description in RNAcentral is "uncharacterized LOC124311486, transcript variant X1". Lineage: Eukaryota; Metazoa; Arthropoda; Branchiopoda; Diplostraca; Daphniidae. The record is from RNAcentral.
CAAGGAUUAAGAGGUGAGGGUGAUAAAAAAAAUCGUAUAAAAGGAGAGAGAAAACGCGAAGGCAAUUCAGUCGAGUGAGCAUCUCCGACACGGCAACAGCUGCAGUGCGCUAUCUGUCACCAUCUGCCUUCUUCACCGUAUUGCCAGUUCGCAUCCAUGGUAAACCUUGGCGUGGUCCCGCUGUUGUGUGUUGUAUCGUUGAUGGCUGGGUCGACCGCUGGUGUAGCGAUGUCUUCUUGGUAUGGUGGAUACCAAACCGCAACGCCGGCGCCUUACUACACAACAACUUACGUUACUACCAGUUACUGCACCGAGGUCACUACUAAGGCACCGGAGUUUUAAAUCACAACGCUGCCCCGAACCACUACACUGACGCUUUGAAGUGUUACUCUGCCCUGAGUUACUACACCACCAAGGCGACGAAGUACUACAUGACUACGCAUGCUGCCCCCUCCUACUACACCGAUUCUCUUAACUGCUACACCGAGGCUCCCGCUGGUUACUCCACCAAAACGGUCGAAUACUACACCGAAGCGCCAAAGUUUUAUUCUGCCCCGAUCUACACAACCACAACUGAGGCGGCCAAAUGCUCCAGUUUACUACACAACGACGUGCGCUACACCUAGCUACAACACCGCUGCCCUCAAGUACGACACCGAGGAAGCCGCCUUCUUCCAAGGUUCAUAUGUAUUACGUCAGCAAUUCUCCCGACUAUGUCACCACUACUCAAGCUGCUUUGAACUCUACACCGAAGUUCUGAAAUAUUUCUCUGGAUGUGUUGAAAUACAAGAUUGAUUGAUAAA